Molecule: ribosomal RNA, 495 nt
Filed under: uncultured bacterium
Lineage: Bacteria
Description: partial 16S ribosomal RNA
Rfam family: Bacterial small subunit ribosomal RNA
Source: RNAcentral
GACGAACGCUGGCGGCGUGCCUAAUACAUGCAAGUAGAACGCUGAAGGAGGAGCUUGCUUCUCUGGAUGAGUUGCGAACGGGUGAGUAACGCGUAGGUAACCUGCCUGGUAGCGGGGGAUAACUAUUGGAAACGAUAGCUAAUACCGCAUAAGAGUAGAUGUCGCAUGACAUUUGCUUAAAAGGUGCAAUUGCAUCACUACCAGAUGGACCUGCGUUGUAUUAGCUAGUUGGUGAGGUAACGGCUCACCAAGGCAACGAUACAUAGCCGACCUGAGAGGGUGAUCGGCCACACUGGGACUGAGACACGGCCCAGACUCCUACGGGAGGCAGCAGUAGGGAAUCUUCGGCAAUGGACGGAAGUCUGACCGAGCAACGCCGCGUGAGUGAAGAAGGGUUUCGGAUCGGAAAGCUCUGUUGUAAGAGAAGAACGAGUGUGAGAGUGGAAAGUUCACACUGUGACGGUAUCUUACCAGAAAGAGACGGCUAACUACGUG